Molecule: ribosomal RNA, 270 nt
Filed under: Triticum aestivum (bread wheat)
Lineage: Eukaryota; Viridiplantae; Streptophyta; Magnoliopsida; Poales; Poaceae
Description: partial small subunit ribosomal RNA
Source: RNAcentral
UGUGGAGAUGUUUGCAAGGUGAAGGAGAAAGAUGUCAACAUCCCGCCAUGUUGGUGUGGAGAUGUUUGCAAGGUGAAGGUGUCCACCGACCGAAAGAAAGCAUGGACGGAAGGGCGGAGAUAUUUUGUAUGCCCGAACUAUGCUUAUGAUCGUGCACUUCCAACUAACGCCUAUGACCAACCACCGAUAAGCUCGAGAAGUACUUCACUGCCUGCUCUAUGCAACACUAAGCUCGAGAAAAUGUUACUCUCAAAUGUGUGUCAACACUAA